Molecule: ribosomal RNA, 271 nt
Filed under: uncultured bacterium
Lineage: Bacteria
Description: partial 16S ribosomal RNA
Rfam family: Bacterial small subunit ribosomal RNA
Source: RNAcentral
UACAGAGGUCUCAAGCGUUGUUCGGAUUCAUUGGGCGUAAAGGGUGCGCAGGCGGCGUGGAAAGUUGAGUGUGAAAUCCUGGGGCUCAACCUCAGAACUGCACUCAAUACUCCCAUGCUAGAGGAAUGUAGAGGAGAGUGGAAUUCACGGUGUAGCAGUGAAAUGCGUAGAUAUCGUGAGGAAGACCAGUUGCGAAGGCGACUCUCUGGGCAUUUCCUGACGCUCAUGCACGAAGGCCAGGGGAGCAAACGGGAUUAGAUACCCUUGUAGU